Non-coding RNA from Gadus chalcogrammus (walleye pollock), 1154 nucleotides. The record is from the annotation of a RefSeq genome assembly. NCBI's taxonomy places the organism in Eukaryota, Metazoa, Chordata, Actinopteri, Gadiformes, Gadidae.
AAAGUGAUCUUUAUUUGACAUUAAUACAUGUAGAGAUGGUGUCACCACAGUGGUUCUACUUGACCUUUGAAACUAGAACUCACAUUCACCUGUCGCUCCUCUUCCUGGGUCCUCAUGGUCUCCACAGAGCCAGUAUAGUAGAAGGUCUUCUCCUGUCUCAUUCAGUCCUUGGUGCCACUCUAGCAGGAGGUGGAGCUUGACAGGCAGCACAUCAGAAACAAUCCGUCAACACAACAGCUUUUAGACUCUUGAUUGUUGCUGCUUGACAACAUCUGAUUGUUCCAGUAUUAGCUAUGCAGAUCUUCAUGUUAGUGGUUUUAUUCACUGGGUUUACUGGUGACAGUCAUCAGCAAACCAUCCACUCAAUCCAGGACAGUCCAGUCCAGGCUCUACAAGGAGACGGCGUGACUCUCUCCUGCAACUACUCUUCAGCAACAGACUUCUUCUGGUAUCGGCAGUACCCCAGCUCACCUCCCCAGUUCCUUAUCAAAGAUUACAUGGAGCUAUCUGGAUUUACCUUGAAAAAGGACAGUGAUAAAAAAAUGUUCCAUCUGGAGAUCUCCGCUGCUGCCGUGACAGACUCUGCUCUGUACUACUGUGCUGUGCAGCCCACAGUGACAGGAAACACAGACUCCCUGUACAAAAACCUGACAAGGAACUUGAAGAGCAUUUGUCAUUACCUUAAACUGUGGUUCAGGGGAGGCGCAUCUGGAGAGGUGAAUUCACACCAGGAGUCUAGUGAAUAAACAGUAUUUUACAACAGAGAUACAGAGGUAGCAUGUUGAGCUCCAGGGUUCCCAUGUCGUUUGAAAUUAUGUCAGUCCUCUUUUCAAGUCACAGCCCACCAGAAAUUCUAAAGAUUAAAGGGAACUUGUAUAGCCAUGGCAACAUGUUUACAUAUUAACCUUAUCUUUACAGGUGUCUACAGUGGACCUCACUCCUGUCAAGCAGAAAGAGAACAGAUUAGUCGGUACAAGUGUUUCUCUGUCCUACACGCUCUCUAAAAUUGCUACAGGGAGCGAUUAUUUCUUCUGGUACCGUCAGUAUCCUGUAGAACCUCCACAGUUCCUGCUGUACAUCUCAGGGUUUGGUAUCAACAGGACAGCUGAGUCUCUUGGUUCAGACAAAAGGUUUUCUACUGAACUGACUGAAGA